AUGGCGCUGCGGGCAGGCGGGCGAGAGAGAGCAGAAGACAGCGUCUCAGCCAGUGCCGGAAAGCUCGCCGGCCUUUCCUUAUUGACCCCACGCACAGGUCCGGGGCAGCCGCCCCAGCCUCCCGCAGCCAGGGAGCAGCGGUGACAUGGUCCCGCGCGCCCGCCGGGGAUGUUCCUGCCUCCUCGCUGCUCGCAGCUCGCGUCUCCUAGUGGAGGGCAGGUGGCGCGCCGUGACCAGCCUGAGGGCCCCUAGGCUUCCCGCAGCGUUCCCCGCUAAGUUUGAAAAGAAAGUCGAUGAUGCUCCCUCCUCCCCGCCCCUCGGAGUUUGUGCCCAGCGGUCACAGCGGGACACGACCCUUCCCUGGAGGGGCCAGCCUGCCCCCCUGCCCUCCAACCUCUCCAACCGCCCCUCGGAUCACUCGCUCAAGAUCCAGGAGCCCAGGCAGCCCUAGUGCCCAUCCCGGGUUCCAAGCUUGGCUAGGCGGAAAGUUGUCACCCAUGACAGGAGACCUCUUGGCACAGGGGUGGGUGCCCGGUGAGGCUUCCCUGGACGUCCCGGGGACCCAGAACCCCCGGGGUCCUUGCCUUCGCCUGGCGGAGUUGGAACAACAGACUCACCAUCAGGGGCUUCAUUUUGGGCUCCUCUUUUGUGCAGAAUUCUCAGGCAAGCGCGUCCGGAGCCACUUUUUCUUGGAGGUUGUCCAUGGUGGGUGACGGGGUUGAGGCGGCUCAGAUGCUCGCCCGGCAGUGGCAGCGGCUGAGCGGGAGCUGGAGCCGCGGACCUGGGAAGCGCGGCUGUUGCACAGAUUAGAGCAGAAUUAAAACUGAGCCGGACCCUCCGAGUCUCCCUGCAAUCCACACACUGCCGCCUGCCGCCGCCUGCUGGGUCCUAGCGUCCUCUGCAAUCGCCCUUCCAGCACCCAAGGCAUCUUUUUGGUGAAGUGGAAUUUCUAGGGCGAGCUAACGUUACCAUAAGUGUGCACCCGUUUCUUGGUUUGAAGAUUUAUUAUCCUUUUAUGGGGUCAUCAAGCUAAAAGGGCGCAGAACCCAAUUUGGUCCUGAACACAGUGGCCAUUUGAAAAUGUACUAACCAAAAUUUCAGUUUUGCGAUUUUAAUAAAAACAAGUUAACCUCCCAACUGUCAAUAAAUCUAUUUCUAUUUGCAUUAGUGUUUACAGCUUGGCAAA
Meriones unguiculatus (Mongolian gerbil) is the source of this 1186-nucleotide long non-coding RNA. RefSeq lists it as uncharacterized. The record is from RefSeq and is a predicted model, not a curated record. NCBI's taxonomy places the organism in Eukaryota, Metazoa, Chordata, Mammalia, Rodentia, Muridae. The transcript is spliced from 2 exons.